RNAcentral lists this ribosomal RNA (402 nucleotides) under uncultured Bacillota bacterium. RNAcentral describes it as "uncultured Firmicutes bacterium partial 16S ribosomal RNA". It matches the Rfam family "Bacterial small subunit ribosomal RNA", at positions 355 to 774 of the family's 1533-position model. The record is from RNAcentral. Lineage: Bacteria; Bacillati; Bacillota.
UGGGGAAUAUUGGUCAAUGGGGGGAACCCUGAACCAGCGACGCCGCGUGAGGGAAGAAGGUUUUCGGAUUGUAAACCUCUGUCUUCGGUGAAGAAAAUGACGGUAGCCGAGGAGGAAGCCACGGCUAACUACGUGCCAGCAGCCGCGGUAAUACGUAGGUGGCAAGCGUUGUCCGGAAUUACUGGGUGUAAAGGGAGCGUAGGCGGGAGGAUAAGUAAAGUGUGAAAGGUAUCGGCUCAACCGAUAGACUGCGCUUUAAACUGUCCUUCUUGAGUGGAGCAGAGGCAAGCGGAAUUCCCAGUGUAGCGGUGAAAUGCGUAGAUAUUGGGAGGAACACCAGUGGCGAAGGCGGCUUGCUGGGCUCUAACUGACGCUGAGGCUCGAAAGUGUGGGUAGCAAACA